CGCAUCUGUGCAUGCAGCAUAUCAAUAAGCGGAGGAAAAGAAACUAACAAGGAUUCCCUAGUAACGGCGAGUGAAGCGGGAAGAGCUCAAAUUUGAAAUCUUCAGGGUUUUACCUUGACGAAUUGUAGUUUAAAGAAGUGUUUUCUGCUGAAGUUUUGGUAAAAGUUCUUUGGAAUAGGACAUCAUAGAGGGUGAGAAUCCCGUAUUUGACCAUUAUUUUCAGCUUUGUGAUACACUUUCAAAGAGUCGGAUUGUUUGGGAAUGCAGCCCAAAAUGGGUGGUAAAUUUCAUCUAAAGCUAAAUAUUGGCGAGAGACCGAUAGCGAACAAGUACCGUGAGGGAAAGAUGAAAAGAACUUUGAAAAGAGAGUUAAACAGUACGUGAAAUUGUCAAAAGGGAAGCGUUUGACACCAGUGUUGUUUUCUCGAAAAUCAAUUAAAAAUGGCUCGAUUUUGUAUUGCUGAGACCUUAAAAGCUCACUGUACAUUUUUCGUGUCUUUUUUAAUGCACUUUUCGUUUAACAAGUCAACAUCAGUUUCUUUUGUUGUAAAAGGGUCAUUGGAAGGUGGCUUUCUUUUCGGAGAAAGUGUAUAUAGCCUUUGGCCUCUGCAAUCGAAGAGACUGAGGUCUGCAGCGUAGACUCUUCGGGGUUAGAUACAUUUGUGCUAGUUAUAGCUUUUUAUAGACAACUUGUUGACUAUAAUUAGUCUUGUAGCUUACUCGCUUAUGCUAUUUUACCUACGCUUAGGAUGUUGAUAGUCACAGCGUGUAC
RNAcentral lists this ribosomal RNA (772 nucleotides) under uncultured Neocallimastigales. RNAcentral describes it as "partial large subunit ribosomal RNA". It matches the Rfam family "Eukaryotic large subunit ribosomal RNA", at positions 26 to 625 of the family's 3401-position model. Lineage: Eukaryota; Fungi; Neocallimastigomycota; Neocallimastigomycetes; Neocallimastigales. The record is from RNAcentral.